UAAAGUAUGUAAGGUGUUUAUUUUGAAA
Molecule: small RNA, 28 nt
Filed under: Bombyx mori (domestic silkworm)
Lineage: Eukaryota; Metazoa; Arthropoda; Insecta; Lepidoptera; Bombycidae
Description: ovarian small RNA-18394
Source: RNAcentral